UCCUACGGGAGGCAGCAGUGGGGAAUAUUGCACAAUGGGCGCAAGCCUGAUGCAGCGAUGCCGCGUGAGGGAAGAAGGUUUUCGGAUUGUAAACCUCUGUCAUCAGGGACGAAAAUGACGGUACCUGAGAAGGAAGCUCCGGCUAACUACGUGCCAGCAGCCGCGGUAAU
This 170-nucleotide ribosomal RNA is filed under the name uncultured bacterium. Its description in RNAcentral is "partial 16S ribosomal RNA". It matches the Rfam family "Bacterial small subunit ribosomal RNA", at positions 337 to 524 of the family's 1533-position model. The record is from RNAcentral.